UCAUCAUUUCCCUUAUUUUUCUAAUUUUUCUCCAAACCCUAUUUUCUCGCACAUAAUCAUUUUCCCCAACCCUAUCUUUUCCCUUGGAACCCCACCCUCCCUCGCGCGCUUCUCUUAGAGAUUGGGAGACCAUUAAAUCCAACGAUUCCUUGCUUGGACUCAUGUGCAGACGGUUGGAAUGGCAGUGGCGAGGGAUGCGAAGGAAGGAGAGGAAUCCGAUGGUCUGAGAGGCGUUCUACUUUUUUGAGGAACAGAUCCUCCAAGACGCGAAAAGCACCAUAGAAGAAAACGGCAGCGAUACCAAAUUUGUUCUGAUUUAGGGUUUAUCUUCUCACACAAUCCAAAGUUGCGCUCACCACCACUGGUUUCGAUUCUACACCUUCUCGAAAAGUCCUUGAAGCAUUGGCGUCGUCUUCGUCGUGGUCUCUCUUACUCACACUAGAGUCACUCUUUGUUCUCUAUCGCUCGUAUCGCGCUGUGUGUCGAAGGAGAUUGGAUUUGGUCGUUGACUUCUGAAUGCGGUGAGAAAUCGAAGAAACCCUAGGUUGGUUUGUUCGAAUCAGUUCGAGGUCCAAUCACCCUCUGCACCAGGUAAUUAUGAAUUGGUUAGAAUUGGGUUAGUUUUAAUUGGAUGUAUACUAUUAGGAGAGGACAUGUUAAUCCCAUCACUAUUGUUCAAAUGGAGUGCCCCUUUGGACUCGUGACAUUGAGGAGGAGAUAGUUCCUCUCUGUAGAAACUUGAGCUUCUUGGUCUUUCUGAGGAUCAGAAGCGGCUCGUAACUAUGUGGACCUCAUUUGUUAAGAAACAUUGUGUGCUGGUAGAUGGCCAUAUGAAUUGGCAUACGAAGCUCCCUGUUCCAACAACAAUGUCUUGAAUUUAUUGAAGAGUGUUCUCAUAUCCCAAUCAAAAUCUCCAAAUUGGGUUGCUCUUAAUGCGUUUCAGAGACCUCGGAGAACAGUGGCAAGAUAUUAAAUGCAUUCCAGCGGUUGGUGUAUUAUCAGGAAUUUGAUUUCAUUUUAGUAGGUGCCAAAAUUUCUUCCAAUCAGUUUGACGACUCUCUGUCUUUGUUGCCGAGAAGGAUGAUACCAGAGAAUUAAAGGUUCCUUUGUUUUUGUCAUCGUGGCCAAAGUUGCAUGCAACAAAAAAACCUGAAGAUGAUGCUCUACAUGAAUGAAUAUUUUCUCGGGUUUGGAAAACAUAGGAUGAACUGAUACAUAUGAGAAAUUAGGAAGAAAUUUUUCUGGGUUUUCUUCCCAACCAAAUGGAACUGAGGCAAUUAGCUUAAGAGGAGUUUGAGGGGAGUGGACACUUAAGAAACCUCUAAAAAAUUAGACAUUGUUUCUUUUUUAGUAAUAUAAUGAACAUCUUAGUCAUAUUUUUGAUAUUUUAAUUUAGUAUUGAAUAUUUUUCUUU
Vigna angularis (adzuki bean) is the source of this 1414-nucleotide RNA transcript. RefSeq lists it as uncharacterized. The record is from RefSeq and is a predicted model, not a curated record. The transcript has 8 exons. NCBI's taxonomy places the organism in Eukaryota, Viridiplantae, Streptophyta, Magnoliopsida, Fabales, Fabaceae.